AAAAAGGAUGGAGGGUUAUUGAAGUUGGAAGGAUCUAAAGAAGGAAGAAAAGGGGUGUUGUCUAUUGAUGCAGAAAUCUUUGAGGUAACUCCAAAUUUUCACUUUGUUGAGAUGAAGAAAUCGAAUGGAGAUACGAUAGAGUACAAGAAGACGAUGAUGAAGGAUGUAAGACCAGCAUUGGAAGAUACUGUAUGGACUUGGCAAGGUGACGAACCG
Molecule: unclassified non-coding RNA, 216 nt
Filed under: Hevea brasiliensis (rubber tree)
Lineage: Eukaryota; Viridiplantae; Streptophyta; Magnoliopsida; Malpighiales; Euphorbiaceae
Source: RNAcentral